RNAcentral lists this ribosomal RNA (730 nucleotides) under uncultured Planctomycetota bacterium. RNAcentral describes it as "bacterial SSU rRNA". It matches the Rfam family "Bacterial small subunit ribosomal RNA", at positions 126 to 876 of the family's 1533-position model. Lineage: Bacteria; Pseudomonadati; Planctomycetota. The record is from RNAcentral.
GCGGCGGGACUUCGGUUCCUUUGCGAAAGUGCCGGUAAUACUCGAUGAUCCCGUCGGAUCGCAUGGUCUGACGGGCAAAGCUCCGACGGUCCCAGAUCGGUUCAUGUCCUAUCAGCUUGUUGGCGGGGUAACGGCCCACCAAGGCUUCUACGGGUAGCGGGCGUGAGAGCGCGAUCCGCCACAUCGGGACUGAGACACGGCCCGGACACCUACGGGUGGCUGCAGCAACGAAUAUUCCGCAAUGGACGAAAGUCUGACGGAGCGACGCCGCGUGCAGGAAGAAGUCCCUCGGGAUGUAAACUGCUGUCAGGGGUUAGAAAGAUCUGAUCAGCCCCAAAGGAAGCACUGGCUAACUCCGUGCCAGCAGCCGCGGUAAUACGGAGAGUGCGAGCGUUGUUCGGAAUUACUGGGCUUAAAGCGCGUGCAGGCGGGAUAUCAGGUGUCGUGUGAAAACCCCGGGCUCAACCCGGGAAUGGCAUGGCAAACCGGUAUUCUUGAGGCAGGUAGAGGUGACUGGAACGACUGGUGGAGCGGUGAAAUGCGUAGAUAUCAGUUGGAACGCCGGUGGCGAAAGCGGGUCGCUGGGCCUGUCCUGACGCUGAGACGCGAAAGCGUGGGGAGCGAAGAGGAUUAGAUACCCUCGUAGUCCACGCCGUAAACGAUGCGUACUAGGUAUGAGAGGAUCUGACUCCGAUCGUGCCGUAGCUAAAGUGAUAAGUACGCCGCCUGG